This 72-nucleotide transfer RNA is filed under the name bacterium. Its description in RNAcentral is "tRNA-Asn". It matches the Rfam family "tRNA". From Rfam's summary of the family: Transfer RNA (tRNA) molecules are approximately 80 nucleotides in length. Their secondary structure includes four short double-helical elements and three loops (D, anti-codon, and T loops). The record is from RNAcentral. RNAcentral also lists the same sequence under 3 other names.
UCCGGGGUAGUUCAGCGGUAGAACGCCUGCCUGUUAAGCAGGAUGUCGCAGGUUCGAAUCCUGCCCCCGGAG